Molecule: long non-coding RNA, 11367 nt
Filed under: Lactuca sativa (garden lettuce)
Lineage: Eukaryota; Viridiplantae; Streptophyta; Magnoliopsida; Asterales; Asteraceae
Description: long non-coding RNA (LSAT_LNC008448)
Source: RNAcentral
GAAAAUCUGUUAUGAAAGCCAUGUAAACCUUUAAAUGAAAAUGUUGUGUUAAGUAUGAAAUCCCUAGAAAAACCCUUAUUUUCUAUAAGUAUGAAAUGUAGUCUUCUAUCAAGACCCGNAAGCCAUGUAAACCUUUAAAUGAAAAUGUUGUGUUAAGUAUGAAAUCCCUAGAAAAACCCUUAUUUUCUAUAAGUAUGAAAUGUAGUCUUCUACCAAGACCCGAAUGUUCUGUACGUAUGAAGUGUAGUCUUCUACCAAGACCCGAAUGUUUUGUAAGUAUGAAGUGUAGUCUUCUACCAAGACCCGAAUGUUUUGUUAUGACUAUGUAAAAUGAUAGUUUUUCCUUUCUAUUGACUAGUACCAAAGUACUUGGUCUAACUCCUCGUUUAUGUGAAAGAUAUCACAAAAUAAAGUAAACAGGAAAAAUAUAAUCAUGUAAGUGUUAGCCGGAGGUACUGGUGCUAACAAGACGAAUGUAAAUGUUGACCCGAGGUACUAGGGCUAACAUAUUACAUAUAACCUAAUGGACAUCCGAAGAUUGUCCAAUUGUCCUCUGUAGCAGCAGCAGGUGGAAGGAAGGGUUAGUCCCUGUAAAGGUACUCCUAGUAUAAGUAAUAACCGUAGGCAUCCGUAGAUGUUCAUUACCCACUGUUGCUAACAGAUGGGUUCCGGAAUGGUUAGUCCCGUACAUAUAUCCCGAGGUACUGUGGGAUAGAGGCCCAUCUAGGUAUCCCGAGGUACUAUGGGAUAGGGUCCUGUCUUAGAUAUUCCGAGGUACUGUGGAAUAGGCAGGAAGAUUUACACAGAAGGUACUAAUAAAUCAUCCUCGCAAUUCAAGAUACAAGUAAUCCUGUUAAUGUACACAGAUAAGUGUAUCUACGUAAAGGUACUCAUGUAAUGCGUUCAUGUAAACGUGUUCAUGUAUCAUGUAAGUAUAUGUAAAGGUACUCAUGUAUUAGGUAAACAUCUGUAAGUACUCAUGUAUCAGGUAAUGUACUAGUAUAGACUCAUGAAUGAACUGACUCUUGUGUGACUCCUUGUAAUAGAAGUAAUGUUUGAUAUCUUCAAAUUAUCCCUAUGAUAAUCUACUGUAAUAUAACUAGUUGACCAUGUAAGUUUACCCACUCUUACUACUCAAGGGUAUGGGAAACUAAAUGAAAGAUGCAAACUAUGACAUCAAUACAUAUAUAAGAAUAUAAGUGUAUAUGCAUAGUUUAGUUCAAGAAUGAAAAAUGGUUUUUGUAAGACAUCUUAUGGGGCUUUGAACAAUAAUCAACAAUGACUUGAUGUCAUUUUAAUAAACAUUUCAGAAGUAAAACAUUUGAUAACAAUGUGCUUUUAAGAUGUAAAACCAUUUCAUGCAUCACAUUUUGUAGCAUGUGAAAUCUGUUAAAUGACAAACACAGUUAUAAAAUACAUAUCAAUGAUUUAAUAACAUUUUUGUUUGUACUUGUAUCCCCCCCCCCAUUAAAGCCUUUAAAAUCAUUUAAAACAUUGAUUAGGGGUAUGAACUCACCUGUAGUUGGUGAUUGGAAUUAACUGAACGGUAUCAGAUUGUUAGGUGUCAAGCGAGGACUUGUGCACACACUACGAUCCUAAUGAACAUAUAAUCACACAUAUAUGCACUCAAUUAGAAUUAAAAGACUAAUUGAUAAUGUUUAAGACAUCCUAGACACAGAUAAAACUUUAAAUAAGUGUUUUAAGCCGUAAGGACUUCAUCUAAGCAGUUGUGGGACAGGGUACUUGUGUUUAGGGUUUCCAAAGUACCCUAUAUGAGAGUUUACUCUCCUUAGACCAUCACACAUGGAGUUUACGGUUGUAAACUCUUGAGUUUACGGCCGUAAACUCCCAAACAUGUGUGUUUGGUGUGUUUUGAAGUCCAAUAUGCUUUCUAGAAUUAUUCUAACCUAGUGGCUAUGUUCUUGGAAGGGUUUAAGGCCUAGAAGUACUCCGAAUAGGAGUUUACGGACUCAAGGCCAUUUCCCCUUGGAGUUUAUGGCCGUAAACUCCCUUGGGGUGUUUCCUUUGUUGCUUUCAAGCCUCUUGUACUAGUGGGAUGCAUUCUAGACUUUUAAUCCUAGCAUGUGAAGGCAUUAGGCACCACUUAGUGCCCUUUUUAGGAGUUUACGGCCCAAGAACCAUGUAUUGGCCGUAAACUCACUUGGUUAGGUGAUUUUUGUGUGGUUUGGUCCUUCCAUUUAGUGGGUACAUUUUCUUGUAAAGGUCUAGGCCCUUAGGUGUCAUGAAAACACCCUUUGUGACCAUUUACAUGGAGUUUACGGCCUAGGAGAGUUCUGGGCCGUAAACUCACUUUCAUUUGUGUCAUUUGAUGUGUUUAAGACCUUAAGCUACUUGGGGAAAUAACCUAGAUGCAAGCCUUAAAGUCCUUAAGUCCUCAAAUCACCAUUUAAGGCUAUGAUAUGGAGUUUACGGCCUAAGAGAGUUCUGGGCCGUAAACUCCCAAUCUUGGGUGGUUUUGUGUGUGAUUUCAUGUCCCUAAUGUGUUUACCUAAUGUCCUAAGGCCUUAUUCUAGCAUCAAUGUCGGUUUUGGCCUUGUUUCGGGAGUUUACCGCCCAAGAACACCUUGGGGAGUAAACUCCUAGAUCUCAUGAUUUAGCCCACUAAAUCAUGUUAUAAGCAUCAAAUAUGUAAUCUAACACUACUAGAAAGAGUUACUCACAAUCUGGGAUAAAAACCCGAAGAUCUGUCAGAGAGAAAAUGGCUUUUCUCUAGCUGGAAUUGUGAAUAAUGAAUUAAUUUAAUUCAGAAAACUAUUUAUAGUCCUGAAAUAUUUUGGCAGAAAAUAUUUUUAUUCUCGAACUUGGACUGUAACAUUAUGAAACUUGAAAUGUUCAAAUUUCACAAACUCAGGAGCAUCCACUCUCCUGAUAUCUCCUAAAGUGUAAACCCUAAUGUACACUAACUUGUUCGGAAAAGUCUGAAAAUCACUGAAAUUGGACUGACUUCUAUUGAAUAGAUAUUGUUCGUACAAAUGGAAAUUUCGGGUUGUCACAUCAUCCCCCCGUUAGAAGGAAUUUCGUCUCGAAAUUAGAAUUUAAGCAAGUAAGAAAUUACAAAUAACUAAGCAAAAAGGUGAGGGUAUUUUAGUUUCAUUUGAUCCUCAUGUUCCUAAGUGAAUUCCGGUCCACGUUUUGCGUUCCAGCACACCUUCACUGUCGGGAUACGACUCUGCUUUGUUUGCUUGACCUCUCGGUCCAUGAUCUCUACUGGUUCCUCCACGAAGUUGAGGCUCUCGUUGAUCUCGAUCUCGUCGAGUGGAAUAACAAGAGUCUCGUCGGAUAGGCACUUUUUCAAGUUUGACACGUGGAAGGUAGGAUGUACGUUACUGAGUUCUUUCGGUAGAUUGAGCUUGUAAGCCACAGGGCCGAUUCUUGCGAGAAUCUCGAAAGGCCCUAUGUAUCUUGGAUUGAGCUUCCCACGCUUUCCAAAGCGUAUCAAGCCCUUCCAGGGUGAGACUUUCAGUAGGACUCGGUCGCCCACCUGGAACUCCAAUGGUUUCCUACGCUUGUCGGCGUAGCUUUUCUGUCGGUCUCUAGAGGCUUUUAAUCGUUCACGAAUUUGAACGAUCUUCUCUGUCGUUUCCCGAAUGAUCUCCGGACCCGUGAGAGUGCUUUCGGGAACUCGUCCCUUAGCUAACUGGGUAUCACCCACUUCAGCCCAGCACAGAGGGGAUCUGCACUUUCGGCCAUAGAGGGCCUCGAAUGGAGCUGCUUUGAUGCUCGUGUGAUAACUGUUGUUGUAGGAAAAUUACACAAGGGGUAAAUGGGUAUCCCAAGCGUUUCCAAAGUCUAUCACACAGGCGCGCAACAUAUCUUCUAAGGUUUGGAUAGUUCUCUCACUUUGCCCGUCGGUCUGUGGAUGGUAGGCUGUACUCAUGUCCAGCCUAGUUCCUAGGGAACUUUGUAAUGACUGCCAGAACCUCGAAGUGAAUCUACUAUCUCGGUCUGAGAUGAUAGAUAAAGGAACAUCGUGCAGUCUUACAAUCUCCCUAAUGUAAGUUCUGGUAAGUUUCUCCAUUUUGUCUGUUUCCUUGAUCGGAAGGAAGUGUGCAGACUUGGUCAGUCUAUCGACGAUGAACCAUACGGAAUCAAGUCCACCCGUCGUCUUGGGCAACUUGGUUAUGAAGUCCAUAGUGAUCCGCUCCCACUUCCAUUCUGGUAUCUCCGGUUGUUGUAGAAGACCGGAGGGUUUCUGGUAUUCGACCUUGACCUUUGCGCAAGUAAGGCAUUUACUCACGAAGGUAGCAAUAUCUGCUUUCAUGUUAGGCCACCAGUAUAACUUUUUAAGAUCCAGAUACAUCUUAUCUGAACCCGGGUGGACGGAAUAACGAGUGCUGUGAGCUUUUGUCAUGACCAAGUCUCUGAAGCCACCGUGUUUCGGUGUCCAGAUCUGAUCCAUGAGGUACAAGGCUCCGCCACCCUUGACUUCCAAGUUCUUAUCCAUCCCUCUAAGGGAUUCACCCGCCACAUUCUCCGGUUUCAAAGCGUCGAGCUGAUCCUCCUUUAUUUGUGUGGACAAGUGCGAAUGGAUGGUUAGAGUCAAAGAUUUGACUCUACGACCAGUAUAAUCUUUCCGACUUAGGGCGUCGGCUACUACAUUGGCUUUACCCGGAUGAUAACGAAUUUCGCAUUCGUAAUCACUAAGUAGCUCGACCCACCGUCGUUGUCUCAUGUUGAGCUCUUUCUGGUCGAAAAUGUGUUGUAGACUCUUAUGGUCUGUAAAGAUCGUGCUUUUGGUACCGUAUAGGUAAUGUCGCCAGAUCUUCAGAGCAAACACAACUGCUCCUAGCUCGAGAUCGUGGGUUGUGUAGUUAACCUCAUGUGUCUUCAGCUGUCUCGAGGCAUAGGCGAUGACUUUACCUCGCUGCAUCAGAACACAUCCGAGUCCUUGAUUGGAUGCAUCGCAAUAGACAAUGAAGUCUUCUAUUCCUUCGGGAAGGGAUAGUAUCGGGGCGGUGCACAAGGCUCGUUUGAGCGUUUGGAACGCUCUUUCCUGUUUCUCUUCCCAGUCGAAGGCCACGCCUUUCUGGGUCAGGGUUGUAAGAGGUUUCGCUAUGCUGGAGAAGUUCUGAAUGAACCUGCGAUAGUAGCCAGCUAGACCUAGAAAUUGACGAAUUUCAGUAGGUGUCUUUGGUGCUGACCAGUUCUCGAUGGCCUUAAUUUUGGAAGGGUCCACGUGUAUACCUUCUUCGCUAACCACAUGGCCCAAAAAUUCGACUCGCCGAAUCCAAAAUUCGCACUUCGAGAACUUUGCGUAGAGCUUCUCCGCUCGCAAUGUUUCUAAGAUUUUACGGAGAUGUUGACCAUGCUCCUCCUUACUUCGAGAGUAGAUGAGUAUGUCAUCAAUGAAGACGAUGACGAACUGAUCCAAGUAAGGACGACACACCCUAUUCAUCAGAUCCAUGAAUACUGCGGGCGCGUUAGUUAAUCCGAAUGGCAUCACUACAAACUCGUAGUGCCCAUAACGAGUUCGGAAGGCUGUCUUGGGAACAUCUUCCUCUAACACUCGUAGUUGGUGGUAUCCGGAUCGCAGAUCUAUCUUCGAGAAGUAGUUGGCUCCUUGAAGUUGAUCAAAUAAAUCGUCAAUACGGGGCAAGGGAUAACGAUUUUUAAUGGUAAGUUUGUUGAGUUCUCUAUAGUCGAUGCACAUGCGAAACGAUCCAUCUUUCUUCUUGACGAACAAGACCGGUGCUCCCCAUGGUGAGAAGCUUGGUCGAAUGAAUCCCUUCUUGAGAAGUUCGUUAAGUUGACUGGAAAGUUCCUGCAUUUCAGCCGGUGCAAGACGAUAAGGAGAUUUGGCUACGGGGGUAGCCCCUGGCACUAAGUCGAUUCUGAACUCGACUUGGCGUUGUGGUGGUAAACCGGGAAGUUCUUCUGGGAAUAUGUCGGGAAAGUCGCGUACUUCUGGGAUUUUCUGGAUGUCUUUCUGUUCUUGGCUGGUAUCGACGACGUGUGCGAGAAAUGCAUGGUACUCCUUCCGCAAACACUUUUGUGCUUGAAUGCACGAAAUGAUGCGAAGGCUAGUACUAGGUUUGUCGCCGUAGAUAGUUAAGGUUUCGUUGUUAGGAAGGUUAAGACGGACUGCUUUUUCGAAGCACAUAAUGUCGGCACGCAGAAGACUCAACCAAUCCAUACCGAUGAUGACGUCGAAACAUUUAAUGGUAACUGGCAUGAGAUCUAUCUUGAAAGUAUGGCUAUCUAAAGUUAAAGUACAACCUAUGUAUAUGCAGUUUGUACUCUCUGUUUUCCCGUUAGCCAUUUCUACCGUGAAUGAACUAUCUAAUGCACAUGGUUUUUGUUUAAGCAGGUGUGCAAAUUUGUGACUUACAAAACUUUUCUCGGCUCCACUAUCGAAAAGUAUGCAAGCAUAAGAGUUAUCGAGGAGGAACGUACCAGUAACUAUCGUUGGAUCAGCUACUGCUUCCUCAUGGCCUAAGGCCAUAACUCUUCCCACUCCGCCAGCCAUCCCCGCUUUAGGGCAGUUCCUCCUGUAAUGGCCCACCUCGCCACAUCCGUAGCAAGUUUGGCCCAUCCCGGUGUUUGGGACCUGGGCGGCUUGAGUUGUUGGAGCCUUGCAGUAACGGGCGGUAUGCCCCUUCCUGUUGCAGUUAGAGCACUGCAUCUCCUUGCAAGGUCCGUGGUGGUGGUAGUUGCACUUGGUGCACUUUGGAAGAGUUCCAGCAUAAGUUUUUGCUGGAAAGGGGUUCGCAGGGACUACAGGAGUCACUGUGGCAGCAUUGAUCGCCACAUGCUGUUGUUUAUUGGAGGAUCCUUGCGGAGCCCCUCUUUUCCUUUUGUUCCACCCCUUCUUAACGUAGUCGGGGUUGGUCUUCUGUGGUACAGGUGUAGGGAUUGACGUGAUCUGGGGUUUCCUGUGAUCGAUGAGGGAUUGUGCUAGUUCCUUGGCGCUAUCGAAGGUAAUAGGCCUGGAAGCGAUCACACUUGACUGGAUCUGGGGCGACAGUCCCCAGAUAUACCUCUCGAUCUUUUUGCUCUGGAGAGCAACCAUGUCGGGGCAUAAGUUUGCCAAAUCACAAAACCUAUUUGUGUAGGUAGUGAUGUCGGAUCCAACCAUUUGUAGACCCCAGAAUUCUUGCUCGAGCUUUUGUAUUUCACCUCGAGGACAGUAUUCCUUCAUCAGCAUUUCUUUCAACUUUUCCCAGCCAAUGGAAUACGCCACCACCAGAGUUAGAUAGUUAACAUGGCUGUUCCACCAUGUUAGUGCUCGGUCAGAGAAGGUACAAGCUGCGAACUUGACCUUGCUGCCCUCCUGACAAGCACAGAUUUCAAAGACAGAUUCCAUCUUUUCAAUCCAUUGUCUCAACACCAUAACACCCCCAGUCCCAUUGAAGCUGCGGGGUUUGGCGUUAGUAAAGUCCUUGUAGGUGCAUUCCCGAGGGUGUCCAUGGCUUUCGCCGUGGUUUGAGGGUGGUGCACCUGUUCCUGACCCACUAGGGGCAGGAGCGUUGAUUGCUGACACAGCAGCUGCAACUGUUGUUGUGAAAGCUUCCUGGAACAUUGUGGCAUCAAAAGGAUUUGGUGUUUGAAGAGGUACAGGUGGUGGUGGAGGUGGUGGUAUUGGUGCUCGUUGUUUGGGUUCCUCCUAGGAUUCCUGCGCGGCGGCAUCGUUAACUAUACGUUUAAAAGAUGACGACAUGGAUAAGAAUAAAUGAUAAAUGAAUGUGUCUCAUGGACUAAAUCCCCAUAGCCCAACAACAGAAAGAAUAGUAUGACUAAAUGAAGAAGAUAGCAUUUGGAUAAUAAUUUCCAUAAGAUUAGAUAUCUGUCAAUAAUACUGGAAUUACAGAUGUAACAAGUUCGGGAAAAAUGGCCUAGAAGUAGGCCUUACAUCAACCAAGAUGGAAAAUUUUGACAGACUUAAGAUUAGAUAAAGACCUAACAGGUCUAAGAUUUAUACAGACAGGAAAUUAGACCAAAGUUUUACAUAAACUAGGUUAUAUCCAAAAGAUGAGAUGACGAUAUUCUAUCGGCGACGAGAACUACUAGCAUGAGUCCUCGUUCCCGUCAGUAGGCGUUCGAUGUCCCUCAUACGCCUGUCCGACCUUGCUUGUUGAGCUCGAAGUUCUCUAACUUCAGCUCGGGUUUCAGCAAGUUCCCUUUGCAGAUUUGCAUUGCGGACCAGAGUCCUUUCAUGAGCAGACUCUAGUUGGCGAAUGUGGACAGUGUUAACACCAGAGUUGGCGUCAACUUCCAAAACUUGAUUGAUAGUCGCCUGAGCCAUUAUCGUGUUCCGAGAAAUCCUACGCACCAUGAUUGGUAGGACUCUAUCAGCAGAACCUCCUUCAGUGAGGUUGUAGAAACUUCGGUCGCCAUUGUAGGGAAUGGGCUGACCUUGUUCCUGACUCCAUUCAGUCAAGUUAAUGGCCCACAAGGGUGUGGGUCCUUGAAACACAGGGCGAGGGUUCAGGUUUGGGUUUUGAGCAGCUGGGGGUAGGUUGUUGACUUCUGGCUCCGAGUCAGAACUAUCGGAAAAGCCCUCAGCAUGGUGAUCAUCCAAAGGGAUUGGGUGAUCAUCUUCUGGCUCUGCCUCUAGCCAACCAGCAUUGCCUUGGUUCGGAAAGUACGGAUCGCCGUGGUGAAAUCCAGCCAUCUUAAUCUACGCGAGAAAAGGGAUAUAAGAAAUAGCUAAAAUAGACGAACUAACUAAGAUAAUUACAGUAAGACCAAAUACCCAUAUGGUAUUUCUUUAUGGUUGUGUUGGUAAGUUUUUAGACUUGUUGCCAUAUCACAACCAUUCUUGGGCAUAUUCUAAUCACUCCUCGGACCAGCAUAGUUGAUCAGGCUAUGCCAUUCCCAAGACUGACUAUAUAUCCCCAGGCUUACUUGUGAUAUUCAACAAUCGUAAUACUUUUGUUCUUGUCGUUGUGACACUGAUUUUAGUAUGAAUGCAGGCACGUAUACUUUGUUAAAUAUUUUAUUAUUUAAAAGUAUAACUCUUAGACAGAGUGUUUUAAUCCCAUGUAUUUAUAGUUAGUAUAUCUUUUAUGGGUUGAUAUACUAUAUUCACUAUAAACAAUGCUCUGAUACCAAUCUGUCACACCCCAAAACCACGAACGGCGGAAACGUUCAGGGGUGGAGGACGUCAUGUACAGUAUCACAACAGUGUAAUAUAAUAAACAAGCAACAACAUCAUCCAUUGCAUUAUAAGUAAAGUUUUAUACAUGUGUGUUCUUUCAUUGUAAUAAGACACCAAAAAUAUACAAUCAAAAUAAAAGACGAGACUUGACUGCUCCGUCUUCUCAAAACCUGUCCUCCGUACCUGUCUACUGGCGACCUGAGAACACAAGUUAUUUUGAAAGAGAGUAUCAGCUUUAAAGCUGGUGAGUUCAUAAGUAUAUAAGUGUCAUUGCUUUGUUUGUGAAAAUCUGCUAUGAAUGCCAUGUAAACCUUUAAGUGAAAAUGUUGAGGUAAGUAUGAAAUCCCUAGAAAAACCCUUAUUUUCUAUAAGUAUGAAGUGUAGUCUUCUACCAAGACCCGAAUGUUCUGUAAGUAUGAAGUGUAGUCUUCUACCAAGACCCGAAUGUUUUGUAAGUAUGAAGUGUAGUCUUCUACCAAGACCCAAUGUUCUGUAAGUAUGAAAUGUAGUCUUCUACCAAGACUCGAAUGUUUUGUAAGUAUGAAGUGUAGUCUUCUACCAAGACUCGAAUGUUUUGUAUGUAUGAAGUGUAGUCUUCUACCAAGACUCGAAUGUUUUGUAUGUAUGAAGUGUAGUCUUCUACCAAGACACGAAUGUUUUGUAUGUAUGAAGUGUAGUCUUCUACCAAGACUCGAAUGUUUUGUAUGAAUGAAGUGUAGUCUUCUACCAAGACUCGAAUGUUUUGUAUGAAUGAAGUGUAGUCUUCUACCAAGACUCGAAUGUUUUGUAUGAAUGAAGUGUAGUCUUCUACCAAGACUCGAAUGUUUUGUAUGAAUGAAGUGUAGUCUUCUACCAAGACUCGAAUGUUUUGUAUGAAUGAAGUGUAGUCUUCUACCAAGACUCGAAUGUUUUGUAUGAAUGAAGUGUAGUCUUCUACCAAGACUCGAAUGUUUUGUAUGUAAAAUGAUAGUUUUUCCUUUCUAUUGACUAGUACUAGAGCACUUAGUCUAACUCCUCGUUUAUGUGAAAGUAAUCACAAAAUAAAGUAAACAGGGAAAAUAUAAUCAUGUAAGUGUUAUUGUCUUGGAUUACCAGGACAAACACGACAUCGCUGAAGCGAAAGAUAGACCCUAUGGAACAUCCGAAGAGUGUCCCCUCAUCCUCUGUAGCAGCAGCAGGAUGGAAGGAGGGUUAGUCCCUGUAUCGAUCUCUUGAUGCAGAUCGUCAACCUAAUGAUCCUCCGAAGAUUCACAUCUCAUCCACUGUUGCAACAGUGGACAGAGGGAUAGUUAGUCCCGUCACUGACUACUAAUCAAGUGACUACCUUAGACAUCCGUAGACGUCAUCGACCACUGGUGCUAAUCAGUGAGAUUCGGAAUGGUAAGUCCCGCCGAAACAUCCCAUUGAACGGGGAUAGGAAAGACAAUUUACACAGUAAAUACUAAUAAAUCAUCCUCUUAGAUCUAAGUUCAAGUAUCCAAGGUAAGUAAAUACAGGAUAAUGCACCUAUGAAGAAGUGUCCCUGUAUGGUAUUCAUGUAAGUGUGUUCAUGUAACAGGUAAGUAUAUGUAAACAUAUUCAUGUAUCAUAUAAUCCUAAGUACGUGUACUCAUGUAUCAUGUAAGGCAUUAGUAUAGACUCAUGAAUGAACUGACUCUUGUUUGAUAUCUUCUGACUAUCCCUAUGAUAGCUAACUGGAAAGUAUGUGGUUGUUCAAGUAGGUUUAUGCACCCUCGCAACGCCAGGGUGCGGGAAACUGAACGAAGGAUGAAAACUAUAAUCUCUAACAUAUAAAUGAACAUAUACGUAUAAGUAUAGUUUGAUUCAAAAAGGUAAAAUAUACUGGUUUUGCAAGAUAUCUAGGAGUUUUGAACAAUAAUUUAAAGUGACUUGAAGUCAUUAUACAUUUCAAAACUAAUACUUCUGUUGUCCAAGUAUUUUAAGAUAGAAAACCAUUUCAUGUGACUCCUUUUGAAAUAUGUGAAAUCUACUGAGUGAAAACACAGUUAUAAAAUACAUAAAAUUGAUUUAAUAACUUAUUGUUUUCUACUUGUUUUCCCCCCCCCCAUUAAAGCAUUUAAAAUCCUUUAAAACAUUGAUUAAGGGGUAUGAACUCACCUGUAGUUGGUGAUUGGAAUGAACUGAACGGUAUCGGAUUGCUAGGUGUCAAGCGAGGACUUGUGCACACACUACGAUCCUAAUGAACAUAUAAUCACACAUAUAUGCACUCAAUUAGACUUAAAAGACUA